CGACAGUAAGAAUGCCACAUGGAAUGUAUUUCCAUUAACCAGAUUAAAACAAUACUUGUAACAUACAGAUAUUAAAGGGUCACUAUAUAGUCACCAGAACAACUACAGCUUUUUGUGUUUGUUCUGGUGAGUAGAAUCAGUCCCUUCAGGCUUUUUGCAGUAAACACAGUCUUUUCAGAGAAACUGCAGUGUUUACAUUACAGCCUAGGGAUACCUCCACUGGCCACUCCUCAGAUGGCUGCUAGAAGUGCUUCCUGUGGCAGUGCUGCACAGUGUGACUGACAUUCAGUGUCUCCAUCCUCUGCAUGCAGACACUGAACUUUACUCAUGGAGAUGCAUUGAUUCAAUUCAUCUCUAUGGGGGAGAUGCUGAUUGGCCAGGGCUGUGUUUGACUUGUGCUGGUUCUGCCCCUGAUCUGCCUCCUUGACAGUCUUAGCCAAUCCUAUGGGAAAGUAUUGUGAUUGGCUCAGAAAAUCACUUCUGAUUAUGUCAGCCAAGCAGGCAGAUCUUGGGCAGAGCCAACAGCUGCAGACUUGAAUAGAUGUAAGGGAGGAAGAAGGGGCUAGAUUGUGGUUUUAACACCAUAGGGUCUGGAAUACAUCUAUGUGUUCCUGACCCUAUAGUGUUCCUUUGAUUUGAAUUAGCUUAG
Molecule: non-coding RNA, 649 nt
Organism: Pelobates cultripes (western spadefoot toad)
Lineage: Eukaryota; Metazoa; Chordata; Amphibia; Anura; Pelobatidae
Source: the annotation of a GenBank genome assembly